RNAcentral lists this ribosomal RNA (468 nucleotides) under uncultured bacterium. RNAcentral describes it as "partial 16S ribosomal RNA". It matches the Rfam family "Bacterial small subunit ribosomal RNA", at positions 28 to 507 of the family's 1533-position model. The record is from RNAcentral.
GACGAACGCUGGCGGCGUGCUUAACACAUGCAAGUCGAACGGAAAGGCCCUGCUUUUGUGGGGUGCUCGAGUGGCGAACGGGUGAGUAACACGUGAGUAACCUGCCCUUGACUUUGGGAUAACUUCAGGAAACUGGGGCUAAUACCGGAUAGGAGCUCCUGCUGCAUGGUGGGGGUUGGAAAGUUUCGGCGGUUGGGGAUGGACUCGCGGCUUAUCAGCUUGUUGGUGGGGUAGUGGCUUACCAAGGCUUUGACGGGUAGCCGGCCUGAGAGGGUGACCGGCCACAUUGGGACUGAGAUACGGCCCAGACUCCUACGGGAGGCAGCAGUGGGGAAUAUUGCACAAUGGGCGGAAGCCGGAUGCAGCAACGCCGGGUGCGGGAUGACGGCCUGCGGGUUGUAAACCGCUUUCGCCUGUGACGAAGCGUGAGUGACGGUAAUGGGUAAAGAAGCACCGGCUAACUACGUG